This 285-nucleotide small RNA is filed under the name Pan troglodytes (chimpanzee). RNAcentral's name for it is "processed transcript". Lineage: Eukaryota; Metazoa; Chordata; Mammalia; Primates; Hominidae. The record is from RNAcentral.
AACCCUGGGGAGUUGGUACUGGAUCACAUUGUGGAGCGCAAGCGACUGGAUGACCUUUGCAGCAGCAUCAUUGACGGCCGCUUCCGGGAGCAGAAGUUCCGGCUGAAGCGCUGUGGUCUGGAGCGCCGGGUAUACCUGGUGGAAGAGCAUGGUUCCGUCCACAACCUCAGCCUUCCUGAGAGCACACUGCUGCAGGCUGUCACCAACACUCAGCGCACAGCAGACAUUAAGGAGUCAGCCGCCUACCUGGCCCUCUUGACGCGGGGCCUGCAGAGACUCUACCAG